RNAcentral lists this long non-coding RNA (731 nucleotides) under Gallus gallus (chicken). Its description in RNAcentral is "lncRNA (ENSGALG00010001006.1)". Lineage: Eukaryota; Metazoa; Chordata; Aves; Galliformes; Phasianidae. The record is from RNAcentral.
CUAUUCAAACAUACUCUCCUUAUCUCUGUUACACAGAAACAAGUGAAAACGUUCUAAGACUUCUAAUUCCUGUUCUUCUAGGAACCCUACAAAUGCCUAAUCUCUAGAAAUAUUAGCAGACUUCCAACUCCCCGUACUGUCUGCCAUCACAACUCUUGUCUAAAAAUUCCUCUGCUGAAAAGUGAAAGUGGAGCUGCCAGGCAGUUUAGUAAAAAUGUUCAGCCAUUUAGAAAGACUUUUUAGGCCUCUACCAGGAUUGUUCCCUGUCUGUCUGCACCCACUGUCUUCUACAGAAGUCAUUGUGUGAGAAAAAAAUGUGUGAGCUACAAUGUCAAAGUACUUUAACUGCAUAUUUGAAUGAAGAAAACAUGAAUAUAAUAUACAUAAUCUGGUUCCUAGGCACGACAUAUGGGAGUCACACUGGCAAGCCUCCAGUCUUCUGGGACCUCACCAGUCAACAAGGAGUGCUGAUAGAUGAUGGAAGGCGGCUCGGCUAUCACCUCUGCCAGUUCCCUCAGCACUCUCAGGUGGAUCUCAUCCGGCACCGUGGACUUCUGGCAGUCCAAUUGGAGUAGCAGGAUGUAGAUUCUCUUUUUCUCCUGAAGCCUCAAGAAGAGCUCCCUAUUCUUCCACACUGGUCUUCUUCCACGUAGGCUCAUUUUGCAUCUCAGGGGGACAGCCUGCUCCUGUGCCUUUAAGACUUCCUUCUUGAAGAGCGACCAACCAUCUUG